UUUUUGUGUUCUGUUAAAUUGUUCCUUUUAAAAUUGUUAUACGAUGAUGACUGAUGUACCCAUAUUUUGACUAUUUUAUUUAUUGUGUCUGUUUAGUUAACGCAUCAAUGUAAAUAUAACGGAAUUUGAUGAGACUGUCAUCAAAAUGAGAGGGUUAGCGCUAUAAAACCAGGUUUAAUCCACCAUUUUCUACAUUUGAAAAUGCCUGUACCAAGUCAGGAAUAUGACAGUUCUUGUCCAUUCGUUUUUGAUGCGUUUUGUUAUUUGAUUUUGCCAU
This 277-nucleotide long non-coding RNA is filed under the name Mytilus galloprovincialis (Mediterranean mussel). The record is from RNAcentral. Lineage: Eukaryota; Metazoa; Mollusca; Bivalvia; Mytilida; Mytilidae.